CGGAACACGUACGCAACCUCCCCAGAACAGGUGAAUAGUCUUGCGAAAGUAAGAUUAAUACACCGUACCAUAUAGUUGUGGCAUCACGAUUAUAUUAUAGGUAGCAAUACCGGUUCUGGAUGGGCGUGCGCCUGAUUAGGUAGUUGGCGGGGUAACGGCCCACCAAGCCUUCGAUCAGUAACUGGUGUGAGAGCACGACCAGUCACACGGGCACUGAGACACGGGCCCG
This 229-nucleotide ribosomal RNA is filed under the name uncultured bacterium. RNAcentral describes it as "partial 16S ribosomal RNA". It matches the Rfam family "Bacterial small subunit ribosomal RNA", at positions 109 to 334 of the family's 1533-position model. The record is from RNAcentral.